Molecule: non-coding RNA, 71 nt
Organism: Potamilus streckersoni
Lineage: Eukaryota; Metazoa; Mollusca; Bivalvia; Unionida; Unionidae
Source: the annotation of a GenBank genome assembly
UCCGUGGUCUAGUGGUUAGAGCGUCGACCUUGGAAGUGGGAGGUCGCUGGUUCGAAACCGAGCCGAAUCAU